CAUGCAAGUGGCUAAUAUAUUAACCAGAAUGUUUAAAUUAGUGUUAUAAUAUAUAAUGUAUAUACUAAUGCAACUGCGAAUAGCUGUUUAAUACAGUCGUAAUUGUAUUGACUUAGUAUAAUGUUAAUAAUAGUUAUUUAUAGGAUAACUAAGGGAAAGUUUGGCUAAUACGUUUUAACAGUAUUAUAAUUCUUAAUACACAUAUAAUAAUAUUAUAAUAUGAUAAAUAUUAUAUAAAUAUUUUAAUACAUUUAUUUGUAUUAAUAUAUAGAGUUGACUUUAUAAUAUUUAUUUAUUAUAAAGCAUGUCAAACAAGCAUCUAUAGCAUCAAGUCACAAUGUUGGCAUGUGUAUUAUUGAACCUUCAAAGCAUUUACGCAUUCGGAGGAGUAGUUUCUGAUCCCGUCGAAGGUGCCUGAGAGACGGCACUUAGUUCUAAGGAACGCAGCAGGCGCGUAAAUUGCCCAAUGACAAAACAUGUUAUAAUAAAAUAUAUAAUGUAUAUAUAUUGAAUACUCAAUAUUUAAUUGAGGCAGUGACAAGCUGUAAAGAUUGAAUAUAUUAAUUAAGAUAACAUUUGGAAUUGUCGUUUUAUAAUAUUUUUUAAUAUUAUAUUACUUGAUAAUAUACCAAUGUUAUAAAAUAUUCAAUUUGAAUGCGGUGAAUGUAAUAAUUUCAAGUAACAUGUAUAAAAUAUUUAUAUUUUAUUAGUUAUCUGAAUUUUCAAGUGGAGGGCAAGUCUGGUGCCAGCAGCCGCGGUAAUACCAGCUCCACUAGCUUAUACAAUCAUUGUUGCGGUUAAGAGGCUCGUAGUUGGAUUGAAUAAAACAUAUAUACACAAUACUGUGAACAAACCAGAGUGUAUAAAACAUGUAAUAUAUUAUAUAUUUAGCAAUGAAUGUUUUAUCAUGGAAUAUUGCUAUAAUGAAUAUUAAUAUCGAUGGAGAUAGUUGGAGUUAAGAGUACUGAUAGGCGAGCGGUGAAAUGCAUUGACCCUAUUAAGACUAACAAAAGCGAAAGCACUUAACUAGAUUAUUCUCUUUGUAUUAUUUUACAAUGAAGAGCGAAGGUUGGGGGAACAAAGAGGAUCAGAUACCCUCGUAGUCCUAUUUUUACAUCAAACUAUGGGAUUUCAUUCACACUAAACACUAAACAUUAUAAUUAUAAUUAUGAUUGAGUAUAUGUCAAAAUAUUACUCUCAUAUUAAAUAAUUAUUAUAUAUAUGAUUAUAUGUACUUUGAGCUCAUAUAAUUAUAUAGGUGAGAUGUAAGCAUUAUAAAGUGAAUAAUAUACAAGUAAUAUUGUAUUAUUAUGAUCUUUAAAAUAAAAAAUGUAAUGUGAUGCACGUUUUAGGUACGAGCUUACUAUAGAAAUAUUUAAAAUAAUACCCUCCUGGGGUAGUAUGCACGCAAGUGUGAAACUUGAAGGAAUUGACGGAAGGGCACCACAAGAACGCGUGGAGCAUGUGGCUUAAUUUGACUCAACCCGGGAAAUCUUACCAGGUCCAGACAUAUUGAGGAUUGACAGGCGAUAGUAUAUAAUUCAUUUAUAUGCAUAAAAAUGAUAGUCCUUUCAUGAUUAUAUGAUAGGUGGUGCAUGGCCGUUCUUAGUUCGUGGAGUGAUUUGUCUGCUUAAUUGCGUUUCAGUAAAUAAAAUAUAUAAUAUAUUAUAAUAUUUAGUUCUGCCUUGAAUAUUAUUCAAGGAUUUAAAGUGAACAUAUUAUAUAUAUUAUUAUAUAAUAAAUGAAUGCA
RNAcentral lists this ribosomal RNA (1750 nucleotides) under Marginopora vertebralis. Its description in RNAcentral is "SSU rRNA". It matches the Rfam family "Eukaryotic small subunit ribosomal RNA", at positions 50 to 1452 of the family's 1831-position model. Lineage: Eukaryota; Foraminifera; Miliolida; Soritidae. The record is from RNAcentral.